AUCCGCUUUGAGAUGGCCUCGCGUCCGAUUAGCUAGUUGGUGAGGUAAUGGCCCACCAAGGCGACGAUCGGUAGCCGGACUGAGAGGUUGAACGGCCACAUUGGGACUGAGACACGGCCCAGACUCCUACGGGAGGCAGCAGUGGGGAAUAUUGCACAAUGGGGGAAACCCUGAUGCAGCGACGCCGCGUGGAGGAAGAAGGUCUUCGGAUUGUAAACUCCUGUUGUUGAGGAAGAUAAUGACGGUACUCAACAAGGAAGUGACGGCUAACUACGUGCCAGCAGCCGCGGUAAAACGUAGGUCACAAGCGUUGUCCGGAAUUACUGGGUGUAAAGGGAGCGCAGGCGGGAGAACAAGUUGGAAGUGAAAUCCAUGGGCUCAACCCAUGAACUGCUUUCAAAACUGUUUUUCUUGAGUAGUGCAGAGGUAGGCGGAAUUCCCGGUGUAGCGGUGGAAUGCGUAGAUAUCGGGAGGAACACCAGUGGCGAAGGCGGCCUACUGGGCACCAACUGACGCUGAGGCUCGAAAGUGUGGGUAGCAAACAGGAUUAGAUACCCUGGUAGUCCACACCGUAAACGAUGAUUACUAGGUGUUGGGGGAUUGACCC
Molecule: ribosomal RNA, 607 nt
Filed under: uncultured bacterium
Lineage: Bacteria
Description: bacterial SSU rRNA
Rfam family: Bacterial small subunit ribosomal RNA
Source: RNAcentral